This 406-nucleotide ribosomal RNA is filed under the name uncultured bacterium. RNAcentral's name for it is "partial 16S ribosomal RNA". It matches the Rfam family "Bacterial small subunit ribosomal RNA", at positions 30 to 526 of the family's 1533-position model. The record is from RNAcentral.
AUUGCACGCUGGCGGCAGGCCUAACACAUGCAAGUCGAGCGAGCGGCGGACGGGUGAGUAAUGUCUGGGAAACUGCCUGAUGGAGGGGGAUAACUACUGGAAACGGUAGCUAAUACCGCAUACCAUCAGAUGUGCCCAGAUGGGAUUAGCUAGUAGGUGGGGUAACGGCGAACCUAGGCGAAGAUCCCUAGCUGGUUGGAGAGGAUGACCAGCCACACUGGAACUGGGACACGGUCCAUACUCCUACGGGAUGCAGCAGUGGGGAAUAUUGCACAAUGGGCGCAAGCCGGAUGCAGCCAUGCCGCGUGUGUGAAGAAGGCCUUCGGGUUGUAAAGCACUUUCAGCGGGGAGGCGUUACCCGCAGAAGAAGCACCGGCUAACUCCGUGCCAGCAGCCGCGGUAAUUC